Molecule: long non-coding RNA, 3339 nt
Organism: Columba livia (rock pigeon)
Lineage: Eukaryota; Metazoa; Chordata; Aves; Columbiformes; Columbidae
Exons: 2
Source: RefSeq, a predicted model, not a curated record
UCCCGGCACAGCCGCCCUCCCCGGCGCCCCGCGGCCCAGGGGGUACUCGCGGGCGCCCCUCGGCAGGGCUGGGACCCGGGGGACGGGCAGCGGGUUGGCGGCAGCAGGAGCCGCGGCCGGGCCGUGUGUCCCCCCGUGUCCCCUCGUGUCCCCCCGUGUCCCGGCAGCUCCGCCGUGCCGCUCACACGUCAGCAGCUGCGGGGCGGCCGCGGCUGCUCCUCCAGCUCCCGGGGGAGGCAGGUCCGGGGCCCCCGCAGGUAAAUCCCCAGCAGGUCCGGUGCCCAGCAGGAAGCGUCGCUCGCUGAGGUGCGAGAGCACAGGGCCUGCCGGCCGCCUUCCCCCCUCCCUUUUGCCGUUUCUUUGCUGCCAAGUGCUUGUUGCUCUACAGAGGCAAACACCUUCCAGCCCAGGAAGGCCCCGAGUGCACAGAACUGUCUCCGGUGGCCCCCGACGCUGGGGUCGGUGGCCCCGGGCCUCCCUCCACCCUCUGCCCGCUUGCCAGGGCCCGGUGGUGCCAGACGGGCCCCCCGAGCCGCCGCGCUGCUUUGUCAGGGAGCCUCAGCGCCUCUUUGUCUGCCUCCUCCCCGCCGCUUCUCGGGGGGUGAGAGCAGAACCUGGCGCUGCCGGGGCCGGGAAGGAGGUGCGAAAUGUCCCCAGCACGGAGAGACGGGCUGUGAGCGGCGUCGGGAGGAACCCACCGGGGCUGCGGCGGUCGGUGCCGGGCCUCUUGGCAGAGAGGCUGAUGCGGGGACUGCGCAAAUAAAGGCAGGAGAGGGGUAAUUAGUGCCCGCCAGCGCUGCCGCCUGCAAGAUGAGGCUUGUCGAGCGAACUCGAUGGGAUUGCAGAUCUGGCUGGCAGAGGGAAGGGUGGAUGCGAUGAGCCCGUCUGUGGCCCUGGCAUCGCCGGGCAGCACGGCAGAACGAGCGCCGGACAAAACCUGCUCGGGAGUGUUUUAAGCAGAUAGAAGAACUUGUUGCUGGUGGAUCUUGGAAAGUUGCUUGCACUGACUAAUUGCUUUCUGGAGGUUUCUGCAGGGGCCUGGUAGAAACCCCUUUUUGAGCCGGGAUCCUGCGAGCUGUCGGCUGAGGGCAGCAGAGGAGGAGGGCCCUGGCAGCGGGGCCGUUGCGGUGAUACGGUUUGCUGAGCCAGGCUGGUUGGUUUUUCUGCUGGAACGCGGGGUGGGAUCGGAGGGACCAGGGGCGGGUGGUGGUUGUAGGAAGAACUCGGACCGUGGUGUGCAAAGGGCCGAGCUGCAGGAAGCAGGGACUGCACCAGGUACAGCCGGGCUCUGCAGGCAUCUGAGGGACGGGGAGACGCCGGGAGGUUUAGAGAAGGGCUAAAAGCUGGGGUACGUUUGGGGAAAGCCUGCUAACAGCACGAGGCCAAAGAAGACUCUUCAUCUUAUCGAAGGCAGAUGGUGAUUAGAUUAUCUCAUCUUCAGUGUGCCUCUGUGGGGAGGAGGUUUUGGAUUCUUCAGGGCCCCAGUACAUGCUGGACACAGGCAGAACUCUGGAGGCUGGGUGAAGCCAGAGAUAAGGUGGGAAUAUCUGAUAGUGCAUGGAACUGUCCAUUCAAACAGUUUUCCUGGAGGAACCGGGGAGUGUGCACAGCUUGGAGCAUCCCUGUUGGGCUUGGGCCCCCUUUGCAGCUCCCAUCUGCUGGCCUUGGCGUUGGCCGAGCGGUGGGAGGGCUCCCCAGUUGCUGCAAGGCCGUGGUGGUCCUUUCUGCAGGUGGAUGGAGGUGUCUGCUGGGAGACUGCUGGUGCCUCCGCCUCCUGUUCAUGGUGACAACGUCAAGGGGUCCUGGAGCAGGGGCUGGAGCCUCUGCUGAGCUCUUCAAGCCGAGAUGGUGGUUGUGGCAGGGGCCCACGUGCUCCCACGCGCAGGAAGAGCUGGUGGGCCCUGUUCCCUGCAUGCUGUGGGGACUGGGACUCCAGGAAACCCCUGGCUGUGGGUCUUGAGUUGUGGUGACGCUGAGGAUGAAGGGAGAUGUACAGGCAAGGCUGCUGGAGCAGAGAGGGUUUUUGUUAAUGACUGACAGUGCAAAACGCUCUAUUAAAACGUGCAGCCCUUCUGAACACGGAGGACGGGGAUGGACAGCAAUGGAAGCAUCCACCAGUUACUGGCUGUGUGGUUUGUGGUACCUGCACUGUGUUGAGGUUGGGGGACGGGCGAUGUUCCCUGGGAGCCCUGUGCCUGCUGUAGCUGCCCUGACCGUUCUGGAAAACUGAAGACAGGCAGGAAUACCUUGGCCGUGUCAUCCCUCCUGCCUGGCCACGCGGUGCUUUGCCAUCGUAGUGUGUCCUCACAUCUUUCUGCCUUGCACGGGAACUGCGACGUCUUGCAGGGACGUGCUCACAGUGACCUCUGCAGUGGCUCCUGCUCCGUUACAAAUGCUUGCUGGACACGGUGGGGACCAGGACAGGUCCUUCUCCAUGUCCUUAGUCUGGGCAGUCCUUUCCCUACAGCCCUGCAUAACAUACCGGCCCUGUACAGCUUGCUUGAGCGAGGCAGAUACCCGGGAGAUGUCUUCUCUGCCGUGUUUGCGUUAGGCAACGUGAGCAGCAUUUCCAGGAGGAUGCAGCAGUGCGGGACCUCCCUGCACGAGGACACCCAGGACACAGCUGGGCGACCAGGCUGGGGAUGUGCCCGGUGAGGGCUUUGCGUCCUGCCCGCCGGGACCGAUCGCUGGCGUGUUUGCAGGGACAGCAGGGUCAGUGCCGCGGGGUGUGGGAACGGCCGGCCAGGAAGCUCCUGGGCGUGUGUCUUUCCUGCGAGAGCCUCCCUGGACUGAGUCAUCCUGCGCCGUGCUCCGCCGGCCCGCGCUCCCUCCUCCCGUGCCGUGGGGUCACCGCUGGCCCCGCCGCCCGCCCCGGGCAGGGGACCAGACCCUUCUUGGAAGGCCAGCAAACCAUUUGGUUUGCUUUUGGGUUUGGCUUCAGUGUCCACCAAAAGCCAAGCUGUAAGAAGGGUCAAACUGCAGAAAUUUUGCACCUGGCAGAGAGAGCAAACUGAGCUUGUUCGUAACUCAGAGCGACUCCGGCGUGGAACCCAGCAGUCCUGGGGGGAGCCCAAGCUUCAUCUCCAAGGCAAGACACCUCUUUAUAAAGUGAAAGAUCUCUCUAGGUACCCUCUGGGGACCUCUCUGUAGACCGGAGCAUCUUGUUGUCACAAAAGGUGGUGGCAGGUGGGAUGUUUGUUGGCAAGAUGGGGUGAAGAGCCCCCGCUCUGCCCUGGGAUCUCAGCGUCUGAACUGUGAACUCUGUUGAAGAGCCGCUGUCUGUCGCAGCGUAAAAACUUUGCUGCGAGAACCUGGUGAUGAUUUGGCCCUUUGCCUGAA